AACGAACGCUGGCGGCGCGCCUAAUACAUGCAAGUCGAGCGAGAAGACGUAGCAAUACGUUUGUAAAGCGGCGAACGGGUGAGGAAUACAUGGGUAACCUACCCUCGAGUGGGGAAUAACUAGCCGAAAGGUUAGCUAAUACCGCGUACGCUCCUUGGACUUCGGUUCAGGGAGGAAAGCGAUACCGUGGGUAUCGCGCUCUUGGAUGGGCUCAUGUCCUAUCAGCUUGUUGGUGAGGAACGGCUCACCAAGGCUUCGACGGGUAGCUGGUCUGAGAGGACGAUCAGCCACACUGGCACUGCGACACGGGCCAGACUCCUACGGGAGGCAGCAGUAAGGAAUAUUGCGCAAUGGGCGAAAGCCUGACGCAGCGACGCCGCGUGGGGGAUGAAGGUCUUCGGAUUGU
This 406-nucleotide ribosomal RNA is filed under the name uncultured bacterium. RNAcentral's name for it is "bacterial SSU rRNA". It matches the Rfam family "Bacterial small subunit ribosomal RNA", at positions 29 to 426 of the family's 1533-position model. The record is from RNAcentral.